RNAcentral lists this ribosomal RNA (805 nucleotides) under uncultured bacterium. RNAcentral's name for it is "bacterial SSU rRNA". It matches the Rfam family "Bacterial small subunit ribosomal RNA", at positions 8 to 796 of the family's 1533-position model. The record is from RNAcentral.
AGAGUUUGAUCCUGGCUCAGAACGAACGCUGGCGGCGGGAUAAGACAUGCAAGUCGGACGGGAUUACUUUUGGUAGCAAUACUAAGAGUGAUUCAGUGGCGAACGGGUGCGUAACACGUGGGCAAUCUGCCUUAAAGUGGGGGAUAGCUCGCCGAAAGCGAAUUAAUCCGCAUGUGAUCAGGGGAGACAUCUUCCCGAAAUCAAAGGUGGNNCAACUACCGCUUUUUGAGGAGCCCGCGGCCUAUCAGCUUGUUGGUGAGGUAACGGCUCACCAAGGCGUUGACGGGUAGCUGGUCUGAGAGGACGACCAGUCACACUGGAACUGAGACACGGUCCAGACACCUACGGGUGGCAGCAGUCGAGAAUUUUUCUCAAUGGGGGAAACCCUGAAGGAGCGACGCCGCGUGGAGGAUGAAGGUCUUCGGGUUGUAAACUCCUGUCAUUUGGGAACAAGUUGGACGCCGUAACUGCGCGUCCAUUGAUAGUACCAGAAGAGGAAGGGACGGCUAACUCUGUGCCAGCAGCCGCGGUAAUACAGAGGUCUCAAGCGUUGUUCGGAUUCAUUGGGCGUAAAGGGUGUGUAGGUGGCGCGCUAAGUCGGGUGUGAAAUUUCGGAGCUUAACUCCGAAACUGCAUUCGAUCUGGCGUGCUUGAGGACUGGAGAGGAGACUGGAAUUCAUGGUGUAGCAGUGAAAUGCGUAGAGAUCAUGAGGAAGACCAGUGGCGAAGGCGGGUCUCUGGACAGUUCCUGACACUGAGACACGAAGGCCAGGGGAGCAAACGGGAUUAGAUACCCCAGUAGUCC